AUUGAACGCUGGCGGCAGGCCUAACACAUGCAAGUCGAACGGUAACAGAAAGCAGCUUGCUGCUUUGCUGACGAGUGGCGGACGGGUGAGUAAUGUCUGGGAAACUGCCUGAUGGAGGGGGAUAACUACUGGAAACGGUAGCUAAUACCGCAUAACGUCGCAAGACCAAAGAGGGGGACCUUCGGGCCUCUUGCCAUCGGAUGUGCCCAGAUGGGAUUAGCUAGUAGGUGGGGUAAAGGCUCACCUAGGCGACGAUCCCUAGCUGGUCUGAGAGGAUGACCAGCCACACUGGAACUGAGACACGGUCCAGACUCCUACGGGAGGCAGCAGUGGGGAAUAUUGCACAAUGGGCGCAAGCCUGAUGCAGCCAUGCCGCGUGUAUGAAGAAGGCCUUCGGGUUGUAAAGUACUUUCAGCGGGGAGGAAGGGAGUAAAGUUAAUACCUUUGCUCAUUGACGUUACCCGCAGAAGAAGCACCGGCUAACUCCGUGCCAGCAGCCGCGGUAAUACGGAGGGUGCAAGCGUUAAUCGGAAUUACUGGGCGCAAAGCGCACGCAGGCGGUUUGUUAAGUCAGAUGUGAAAUCCCCGGGCUCAACCUGGGAACUGCAUCUGAUACUGGCAAGCUUGAGUCUCGUAGAGGGGGGUAGAAUUCCAGGUGUAGCGGUGAAAUGCGUAGAGAUCUGGAGGAAUACCGGUGGCGAAGGCGGCCCCCUGGACGAAGACUGACGCUCAGGUGCGAAAGCGUGGGGAGCAAACAGG
Molecule: ribosomal RNA, 759 nt
Filed under: uncultured Enterobacteriaceae bacterium
Lineage: Bacteria; Pseudomonadati; Pseudomonadota; Gammaproteobacteria; Enterobacterales; Enterobacteriaceae
Description: bacterial SSU rRNA
Rfam family: Bacterial small subunit ribosomal RNA
Source: RNAcentral